GCCCAGACUCCUACGGGAGGCAGCAGUGAGGAAUAUUGGUCAAGGGCCGGAAGGCUGAACCAGCCAAGUCGCGUGAGGGACGACUGCCCUAUGGGUUGUAAACCUCUUUUAUAAGGGAAGAAUAAAUGCUACGUGUAGCAUGAUGCCUGUACCUUAUGAAUAAGCUCCGGCUAACUACGUGCCAGCAGCCGCGGUAAUACGUAGGGAGCAAGCGUUAUCCGGAUUUAUUGGGUGUAAAGGGUGCGUAGACGGGGAAACAAGUUAGUUGUGAAAUCCCUGGGCUUAACUGAGGAACUGCAACUAAAACUUUUUUUCUUGAGUGUUGGAGAGGAAAGUGGAAUUCCUAGUGUAGCGGUGAAAUGCGUAGAUAUUAGGAGGAACACCAGUGGCGAAGGCGACUUUCUGGACAAUAACUGACGUUGAGGCACGAAAGUGUGGGGAGCAAACAUGAUUAGAUGCCCCAGUA
This 466-nucleotide ribosomal RNA is filed under the name uncultured bacterium. Its description in RNAcentral is "bacterial SSU rRNA". It matches the Rfam family "Bacterial small subunit ribosomal RNA", at positions 329 to 792 of the family's 1533-position model. The record is from RNAcentral.